GCGCCGGCGCCCUAUCUUCCGCUCCUUCCGUUCCUUGCGCUCGGCGCGCAGGUGGCGGCCCCAUCUUUCGCUUCCUCCCUUCCUCCGCCACCACUCACCCCUUGAUCCGUUCUGCCUCCUAAAUUUGGCGUCACCAAGCAACCCCACUCAUGCCGUUCUCAAAACCCUACCCGACCAAUCCGUCCAAUUCCAAGGCUGUCGGCUUUGCGUUAUGAGCGCCGGGUCAGGGGAGGGGCGGAGGAUCAGAUCAGCAGCCGCACGAGCAUUGAGCGAUAUGGCUUCUAUGUAGGAUGCAACUGGACAUCGCCGUCCACUCGUCUAGCUAUUGAUGCUGAAGUCCCGAUGCUUCAUGCCACCGCGAUGGUGGCUGGUUGAUCUCCGAUAUCAAGAGGAGGGAAGAGGCACUGAAGAAUGGUGCAGAUCCACAUUUGUUUUUGCAUAAUUGCUGCCUUAGCUCCACCAAUUGUAUUUCAUGGGAAAUCAUUAACGUAAGUUUGCCACUCCUUUUAUCUAAAGUAAUCAAAGUCAUUAGUUAUUAUGGGCUUGGGUAAUGUGAGUAAGCACCAUUGCAUAGAUAGCCAGUGAUGUUGGCUGCUGGAAAAGGAGAAAUCAAUGAAUUAUAGAUUGGGAUCACAGAACUUCAUAGAGGAAACUAGGUUGAUUGUUCAAUAUCUUUUUAAGAACACUUAGUAUCCUGGAUAAUAUGUGAAACAAACAAUAUGUGAAACAAAUAAGUAUUUAACCAGCCGCAUAGAAGCAUGUUUGCUUUGUGACCCUAGAAACCAGCCAGGCACAAGCAGCACCUCGACCCCCUCCUCGACCAGAUGACUACUGUCUCGAGGCGUACAGUGGCCACUCACCUAGCGGGUGUGUCUAGCUCGUCAUCGGUCUCCAAUGCCACGUUCGCGCUACUACUCCAAUCAUUGCUGACCCGUAUGAUCUCCACUGACUUCCACAAGGAGUGCAGGCACCUUCGGUCCCAUCCGCUGUUAAGGAGAACACAUGGUUAUGGUGUUCCACAGACUGGCAUUUUAUUCAUUCAUUGAAAGGCUUACCUCGCUUAUGGUGUUCCACAGAGUGACAUGAAACUAUUUUCACUUAUGCAAAAGAUUUGUGCAUUAAGAAUAUUUUUUAUCAGAGUUCACUCGAGGAAUGCAAGAAUUAGGAUAGGUAGAUUAGAUCUUUUUUAUUGGUGUAUCCUGAGUUUCCUCUAAUAAGAAUCAUGUGUCACCACCUGAGUCAAUUUUACUAAACAUUUUUUUGCUACCAGCCUUAAAUACAUACUACAAAUGCUGAUUUACCCU
Molecule: RNA transcript, 1304 nt
Organism: Zea mays
Lineage: Eukaryota; Viridiplantae; Streptophyta; Magnoliopsida; Poales; Poaceae
Exons: 4
Source: RefSeq, marked validated